AAUAAAAAAAAAAGAAGAAAAAGAAUGAGAGAAGUACAGAAUGGAGACAGUACUAAAUGUCAUUUUUUUUUCUUGCUGAUAAACUUGAGUGGAACAAUCUGGAGGUAUUGAGUGAAACUGAAAAUAAAAAAAAUUAAUGUAUUUUUUUAUGGAUGUAGACCUGUUUUUCUGAUGAUGGACUAGUAUUUUGUCAUGCUCUUCUUCCAUUAUAGAAGAACCUGAUAUGAGAUACAAGUUUU
Molecule: unclassified non-coding RNA, 239 nt
Filed under: Hevea brasiliensis (rubber tree)
Lineage: Eukaryota; Viridiplantae; Streptophyta; Magnoliopsida; Malpighiales; Euphorbiaceae
Source: RNAcentral